CCUACGGGAGGCAGCAGUGAGGAAUAUUGGUCAAUGGACGAGAGUCUGAACCAGCCAAGUAGCGUGAAGGAUGACUGCCCUAUGGGUUGUAAACUUCUUUUAUAUGGGAAUAAAACGUUCCACGUGUGGGAUUUUGUAUGUACCAUAUGAAUAAGGAUCGGCUAACUCCGUGCCAGCAGCCGCGGUAAUACGGAGGAUCCGAGCGUUAUCCGGAUUUAUUGGGUUUAAAGGGAGCGUAGGUGGAUUGUUAAGUCAGUUGUGAAAGUUUGCGGCUCAACCGUAAAAUUGCAGUUGAAUCUGGCAGUCUUGAGUACAGUAGAGGUGGGCGGAAUUCGUGGUGUAGCGGUGAAAUGCUUAGAUAUCACGAAGAACUCCGAUUGCGAAGGCAGUUCACUGGACUGCAACUGACACUGAGGCUCGAAAGUGUGGGUAUCAAACAGGAUUAGAUACCCGAGUAGUC
This 460-nucleotide ribosomal RNA is filed under the name uncultured bacterium. RNAcentral's name for it is "partial 16S ribosomal RNA". It matches the Rfam family "Bacterial small subunit ribosomal RNA", at positions 338 to 795 of the family's 1533-position model. The record is from RNAcentral.